AUGGAAGGUGACAUUCAAGUUGGGCAUGGUAGAUCUCCUUUUUUUUUGUUUUCAAUCAGAGAGGAGGGUUUGAUCAGCUCUGUUGGCAGAGUCUCGCCCUCACCUUCUCUCCUCCCAGGUGGCCAGUGCCCAGAUGCUAGCCUCAGUGUUCAUCUGUGCUGCCACAGGAACCACACAGAGGACUGGUACAGUGCCCAGUGUGAGCACCGAACCUGCAGCAGUAACCCUGCCCUGCCAGUCAGGGAGCCCCGCGCCUGUGGAGCUGCCCACAGCACCUGCCCAGACCCUCCAUGCGCCCAGUUAAAAUCUGCAUUUGAGACAGAGAGUUCUACGCAAGAAGCUGAAAUGCCCAGUGAUUUCUGGCUCCUCUCCCCAUUUCCUGAGCCUUCCUGCCUCUCUGCCUGAUUCAAAUGAUAGGCUGUUCAGAGGGACCCCUUAACCGAAGGCGUUCCUCAAGCAGAGGCAUCUAGGGG
RNAcentral lists this long non-coding RNA (473 nucleotides) under Oryctolagus cuniculus (rabbit). Its description in RNAcentral is "lncRNA (ENSOCUG00000039261.1)". Lineage: Eukaryota; Metazoa; Chordata; Mammalia; Lagomorpha; Leporidae. The record is from RNAcentral.